UACGUAGGGACCAAGCGUUGUUCGGAUUUACUGGGCGUAAAGUGUGCGCAGGCGGCAGAGCAAGUCGAGUGUGAAAGCCCCGGGCUUAACUUGGGAAUUGCGCUCGAAACUACUUUGCUGGAGUGUGGCAGAGGAAGGUGGAAUUCCACGUGUAGCGGUGAAAUGCGUAGAGAUCGGGAGGAACAUCUGUGGCGAAGGCGGCCACCUGGACCAGCACUGACACUGAGGCACGAAAGCGUGGGGAGCAAACAGG
RNAcentral lists this ribosomal RNA (253 nucleotides) under uncultured bacterium. RNAcentral describes it as "partial 16S ribosomal RNA". It matches the Rfam family "Bacterial small subunit ribosomal RNA", at positions 524 to 776 of the family's 1533-position model. The record is from RNAcentral.